GAACAGAAGCAUCUAUGACCGACAGUUGCUCUGUGUCCUUCUAGCCUCGCAGGAGUUUCCAGCUCAUGAGGGCAGAGGAGAUGAAGAGAGGCCGAUCGACGUGAGGGUCGUGCAGGUGGCCCCUCUGAGGUGUGACUCCAUAGAUGAUGCAUAUCUGAACCUGGAAACCGCUUCCCACUGUAGAGCGUGUCUGAGUCAUGUCCCUUAGCUUCAGCAGAGCAGAUCCAGCAGGCUCUGAGCUUGACCUCUUUGCCUGAAGCGAGACCUCUAGGUAACGUCUCCAGGGAGGGUGGCACAAAGGAUCCUGGAUCUCCUGAUCACAGCAGCCCAAGAGUGCCGUGUGUGCACCAUGGCUCAAGAAGACUUAAAAAGGGGAAACUCCUCCUGAGGGUGCUGUAGGAGACAUCUGCAAAAAAGAAGAUGCUGGCAAUAUGCCAUCAACCUCAGAGGGGAGUAUUUACCUUGAAAUGGCUCACUUCCUGAGGAACAAACUUGCUGGAUCUAGUGUACGGAAACCUGAUUCUGGGUUCCUUUGGGAAGGAGCAUUACGGGCCUGGUGAGAGCAAAUGACUUUCCAGUAGAAAGCUAUGGCCAGAGAGGCUGCAGGAAUAUCUGUGAACCCAGAGGAAAGACCAGGGAAUCCUGUGUGAGGCAGUGGGGCUUCAGCGGGACUAGGAGUGGGUAGCCUCUCUCAAAUGACUUCUCCUGUUGUUUGUGUUUCUCCAGUGUGGGUGCUGGAGAGCAUAACUGAUGAGGAGGACUCUCCAGCUAGGGAACUGCUUUCCAGGUGGGACUCAGUGGGCAAGGGUUCCCAGGGCCCUUCAGGGUAUUCCUGCUGCUUGGGAGGCUGAGGGAGGGGGCAUAGAAUCAAAAAGAAAAAGGAAAUAUGUGUAAAGUUUGGUUUGGUCUUUUCCAAGUUUAUUGGCGUAGUGGUGAGAACUGUCUCUAUGGGCUAUGAGGGUGCCGUGUUGUUUAAAGAUGAUCUUUCCCAAAACACCUUUUCUGCCUCUGCAUCUGCCAAACAUCACAGCUUCUGCGUUGGAUUAGUCAGCACUCCUUGAUAUUGUGCAAAAGAGGUUUAGGGUUCCCUCAACCUGUGGUGGAGGGAAGGUGAGGGCCACGCCUCUCACAGGCACAUGCUUGAACCUGGAGACAAAGUACUCCUAGGGUUUGCCCAGGGCUGUAGGAAACCUUGAUGAUCAUCCUCUGAACUUUUAGGACUUUUAAAAGCACAUUCAUGUUUCUGUCCUCGCUGUUGACUCCUGGUUUAAAGGGAUUGCCCAGGGUGGAUGACAGAGCGAAUAUUCACUCUGGGUUCACUGCUGGAGCUCCAGUGCCCUGGGAGGGGAGAGGAGAAGCCUGACCUUGAGCACAGCUCCAGCCUCCACUCCCCACCCCUAUCGCAGGCUCUGGGCUGUGGUUUCAUUUUCCCCAGUUCUCUAACUUCUCAGGAAGCCCAGAGUUUCUCCCUAAAGAAAGGUGGCCCUGCACUCUUUCCUCUCCUCCAAAAUUAGGCUUCAGUAGUUGUCCUCUAAGUUGAUAUUUAGACCUUAAAAUCUAGACUUCUUGGAUCAACAAGAAAUACGCAGGAAGUUCCACAUGAUCUCGUGUGAUAGCACGUAACUUAGUGCUACAGGUGACAGUUUUAUUUUUGGAGGAGUCUUAUUUUACAUAGGGAAAUAGAAAACUAAGUGGCUUCCCUUGAGGCAGCCCGAGGGCUCCACUGGACCCAGAACUCUGAGUUCUGAUGCUGCCUAUCAUUUGCUUUUCCUCAUGAGCUCCUGGACCACCUCAUAUCACCAGCACCCUCUACCCAAGGUCCUGGAGCCAACACUGGAGUAAAAGAGCACAAGAGAACUCCUUAGAGGUGGAAGGAUACCCUCUGAGGUCAAAUCAUUGGGCUUGUGGCCAUGAGACCACAGACUUUGCCUGGCUUCCAGUGACUGUCCGAGAUGACCUGUGGAGUGCACCGCCUGUACUUGGACAUCACUGUCUUUUCGGAUCCAUACCCGUCAUCCUUGGAAUUUCCCCUGCAUCCAAACCUGUUCCUGAUACAGGUAUAACCCUAAGGAAUAUCUUGGAUGUCUUCACGGGGCUUAUGACUUAUUCUGAGGUUUACAAAAUAGAGGCCCCCAGCUGAGCAAAGAGAGGGCUGCAGCGCCGAGGGAACAGCUGCCGGACUCACCGGAGAGGCCUCCUGGAGCACGCCGGGACCCCCUCCACCCCCUGGCUUUGGCUGCAUCAAUGGCUAGUUUGCCUGAACUAUAUCUGAGCCACUGAGAGUAUUUAUUAAGCAGAGAAUAAUUUUGAGUUUCACUUUUAUAACUUUUGUUUCAAAAGUUGUUUUGGAUAAUUUAAUGAAAUGACUGUAAACCAGAAUUCCCCUUUUCAUUAUUUCUUUGUGUCAAUAUAAAAAGAGUUGAUGAUUUUAAAAGCCAGUGAGAUGUCCCUGUCUGUGGAUGUCAGCGGGAGGGUGGGGUCUGACGCCUUUCUCUGGUGGCUGUCCAGGAAGAUUGCCCCAGCUUGCACUCCCUUUUGGCGGGUUCCAGAGCCUUCCAUUUGAAAGGAGCAUCUCUCACCACUCUGCCCCACCCAGCACCAGCUCUUCUGGAACCCACUGACUUCCUAAACACUUUCUUCCUCCUUCACCUCAUUGAAUUCAAGACUUUAGAAAACAGCCAAAAACUCUAGAGGUGGGGGUGGGUUCGAUCUGGAAAUCCCUGCUGUAAUCUUUUUAAGGGAAUCCACUGGAAAUUAUUAAUUUAUGUUUUAAAUAAAACCAUUCCUUACUUAACAGAAUAUUAAGCCACUCAUUUUUUUAACAGAACUUUCGAGAUAUAAUUAAAAUGCCAUAAAUUUCACCCCCACACAGUGUACAAUUCCAAGGUUUCCAAUAUAGUCACAGAAGUCUCUGCAACAAUUACCACAAUUUUAGACAUGAAGACCAUUUGUUGGCAGCCCUACCUGCCUCUAUGUGUAUGUAUAUAAUUUUAAUAUUGGAUUGGAUACUAUAGUAAUAUUGUACUGUUACCUAUUUGUGUUUUUAUAUUGCUGUUUUAUUUUAUUCAGAUGAAUAAUAAUUAUCUCCAUAUAGUCAUACAUUUAUAUAGGGUUAAACACACCUUUUUACAAUUCAAUAAAUUAAAUUGGUCAGGUAUGGUGGCUCACGCCUGUAAUCCCAGCACUUUGGGAGGCCAAGGCGGGUGGAUCACCUGAGGUUGGGAGUUUGAGACCAGCGUGAUCAACAUGGAGAAACCCUGUCUGUACUAAAAAUACAAAAAAUUAGCCAGGCAUGGUGGCACAUGCCUGUAAUCCCAGCUACUUGGGAGGCUGAGGCAGGAGAAUCACUCGAACCAAGGAGGCGGACAUUGCGGUGAGCCAGGAUCGCACCAUUGCACUCCAGCCUGGGCAACAAGAGCAAAACUCCAUCUCAAGAAGAAAAAAAAAAAAAAAGUAAAUUGUUUUUAAUUACAUAAGAAACACGUGUUAUUGUUAUAGAAAUUCACAUAGUGCUUCGGUCUAUAGAAUAAAUGUAUCCCCACCACCUCCCAGCCCACCCACUCGUCUGCAUUCACCUACACACAGUUAAACAUGCACAUAUGUUUCCGUGACACGAUCUUGCUUUGCAUAUUGUUCACUGACUGGCUUUUCCAUAUAAGAUUUAAUUUGGUGAUUAUUGCUUAUCAGUACCUAUAGGUCUCUCUCAUUAUUAUUUAUAAUUACAUCAUUAUUCCAUAGGGUAUUUUACCACAAUUUGGUCACUUUUUCACUGAGGAAUUUUUAUGUCAGUUUCAGUUAUUUGUUAUUGUUACCAAUGCUGUACUGGGCAUCCCUGUAUAUCCACCUUUUUGUUGCAUUAGUUAAGUGGUUUUUUCCUUUUAUGAUUGAUUUCUAAAAAUAAAAUACUGCAGCAAAUGUUAAUGUUUAAUAUUUUCAUAAAAUUAAAAAUCUGUGUUCCAAAAAGAAAUCAAUGGUUUAUACUUCUACCAUCAAUGUAUGAGAAUUCCUAUUUCCCCACACCCUUAAUUACAUAGGAAAUUAUCAAUGUUUGCCAAUUUUAUGAUUUUAAAAUAUUUUUACUUUUAAUUUGGAUUUCUCCACUUAUUAGGGAGAUUGUGCAUAUUUGUGUAUGUGUGUUGGCCGUUUGUAUUUCUCCCUGUGAUUUUCAUAAUGAUACGUUUUCCUAGUUUUCUAAUUCAUUUAGUGAUAUUCUUUAUAUGUUCUGCACAUUUAUUAUUUCCAUAUAAUUACUGAGUUUUUUUUAAGGUCUGUGUCAUAACUUUUACUUUGUUUAUAUUGUUUUUGUUUUGAAGAAGGUUUUCUUUUUACAUAGUCAAAUUUUCAAUAUUUUCCUUACCAUUUCUGGAUUUUGUGACAGGCUUUCAAUAGUUGGUCCUUCUAGGGCUUUAUUGAUUUGUUUUGUUUUAAAGAACAUGCUCAAAUCCUACAUUAUAUAGUGAUUUACUUGUUCCCUUUAUAACACGUGGUAGACAUUACUAGUUCCAAUUAAUGUAGAUUAAAUGUAUUCUUUUCAGUUGUGUAGUAAUUCAUAGAUACGUUCUGAUUUCUUUAUUCUCUGUUAGAUGGAUAUUAAGCUUAUUUUUUAAAAUUCCCACCACUAAUGACUUUCCAGUAAUCAUCAAUAUACAUAGAUCCCCCCAAUGUUUUUGUUUUUUUGUUUUUAUGUAGUAUACGAAUCUCAAAAUGGUAUAAUUGAGCUACGAUAAAUUUAAUUAUAAUUUAAAAAAUACUGACAUUAUUUUUCACAGAGUUAAUCAGAUCACACUCUUACCAAUUACAUAAGUAGGCCUCUUCCUAUGUAGGCUCAAUAG
This 4832-nucleotide long non-coding RNA is filed under the name Homo sapiens (human). RNAcentral's name for it is "HSALNT0247986". Lineage: Eukaryota; Metazoa; Chordata; Mammalia; Primates; Hominidae. The record is from RNAcentral.